AAGUCGUAACAAGGUUUCCGUAGGUGAACCUGCGGAAGGAUCAUUACCUUUCAAUGCAGAAGAGUUGAGAUGGUUGAGUAUUUCGCCUCUCAAUUCUCGCUGUAUUUUACCCUUGUUUUUCUCAUACUAUUAUUUCCUCGGCAGGCUCGCCUGCCGGGUGAAACAACUUCAAACCUGUUUAAUUUUCAAUCAGCGUCUGAACAAAUUAAUAAUUACAACUUUCAACAACGGAUCUCUUGGUUCUG
Molecule: unclassified non-coding RNA, 245 nt
Filed under: Leptosphaeria sp.
Lineage: Eukaryota; Fungi; Ascomycota; Dothideomycetes; Pleosporales; Leptosphaeriaceae
Description: partial internal transcribed spacer region
Rfam family: Eukaryotic small subunit ribosomal RNA (bases 1-46)
Source: RNAcentral